ACAUGCAAGUCGAACGAACUUCCGUUAAUUGAUUAUGACGUACUUGUACUGAUUGAGAUUUUAACACGAAGUGAGUGGCGAACGGGUGAGUAACACGUGGGUAACCUGCCCAGAAGUAGGGGAUAACACCUGGAAACAGAUGCUAAUACCGUAUAACAGAGAAAACCGCAUGGUUUUCUUUUAAAAGAUGGCUCUGCUAUCACUUCUGGAUGGACCCGCGGCGUAUUAGCUAGUUGGUGAGGUAAAGGCUCACCAAGGCAGUGAUACGUAGCCGACCUGAGAGGGUAAUCGGCCACAUUGGGACUGAGACACGGCCCAGACUCCUACGGGAGGCAGCAGUAGGGAAUCUUCCACAAUGGACGCAAGUCUGAUGGAGCAACGCCGCGUGAGUGAAGAAGGGUUUCGGCUCGUAAAGCUCUGUUGUUAAAGAAGAACGUGGGUAAGAGUAACUGUUUACCCAGUGACGGUAUUUAACCAGAAAGCCACGGCUAACUACGUGCCAGCAGCCGCGGUAAUACGUAGGUGGCAAGCGUUAUCCGGAUUUAUUGGGCGUAAAGCGAGCGCAGGCGGUCUUUUAAGUCUAAUGUGAAAGCCUUCGGCUCAACCGAAGAAGUGCAUUGGAAACUGGGAGACUUGAGUGCAGAAGAGGACAGUGGAACUCCAUGUGUAGCGGUGAAAUGCGUAGAUAUAUGGAAGAACACCAGUGGCGAAGGCGGCUGUCUGGUCUGCAACUGACGCUGAG
Molecule: ribosomal RNA, 742 nt
Filed under: Pediococcus pentosaceus
Lineage: Bacteria; Bacillati; Bacillota; Bacilli; Lactobacillales; Lactobacillaceae
Description: bacterial SSU rRNA
Rfam family: Bacterial small subunit ribosomal RNA
Source: RNAcentral